This 358-nucleotide long non-coding RNA is filed under the name Carica papaya (papaya). RNAcentral's name for it is "long non-coding RNA (CPAP_LNC006676)". The record is from RNAcentral. Lineage: Eukaryota; Viridiplantae; Streptophyta; Magnoliopsida; Brassicales; Caricaceae.
CAGACUUGUUGUCUUCAAGAAAAAUGUAAGAAUCUUAACUAUUCAAACACCAUGUUUAUGAUAAUUUAUGAAAAUUCUUAAAAAUUUCAUUGUAGUGUGUGCUUAAUUGUGGUAAAUGAACAAUUGUCACAAACUUUAAUGGGGGCAUUUUUUGUGCUUGAAAUGCAUGUUCCAAUGUUAAUGGAUGUUAGGGGCUAUUUUCUCUUUUUCAAUGAUAUCAUCCUAUGUUUACUUUAUAAAUUCUUAGCUCCUCUACUAUAUCCUAUUUUAUUGCUACAUUUCUCUAUUGCUCUCCCUUUUAUCUCUUUUCUUUCACUUUCACUUUUCCUCAAAUUUUCUUGAAAGAUUUCUAACUUAU